This 498-nucleotide ribosomal RNA is filed under the name uncultured bacterium. RNAcentral describes it as "partial 16S ribosomal RNA". It matches the Rfam family "Bacterial small subunit ribosomal RNA", at positions 30 to 523 of the family's 1533-position model. The record is from RNAcentral.
AUUGAACGCUGGCGGCAUGCCUUACACAUGCAAGUCGAACGGUAACAGGUCUUCGGAUGCUGACGAGUGGCGAACGGGUAAGUAAUAUAUCGGAACGUGCCCAGUAGUGGGGGAUAACUGCUCGAAAGAGCAGCUAAUACCGCAUACGACCUGAGGGUGAAAGGGGGGGAUCGCAAGACCUCUCGCUAUUGGAGCGGCCGACAUCAGAUUAGCUAGUUGGUGGGGUAAAGGCCUACCGAGGCAACGAUCUGUAGUUGGUCUGAGAGGACGACCAGCCACACUGGGACUGAGACACGGCCCAGACUCCUACGGGAGGCAGCAGUGGGGAAUUUUGGACAAUGGGCGCAAGCCUGAUCCAGCAAUGCCGCGUGCAGGAAGAAGGCCUUCGGGUUGUAAACUGCUUUUGUCAGGGAAGAAAUCUUCUGGGCUAAUACCCCGGGAGGAUGACGGUACCUGAAGAAUAAGCACCGGCUAACUACGUGCCAGCCGCCGCCGUAA